GUGCUUGCUUCAGCUGCACAUAUUCCAAAAUUGGAAUGAUACAGAGAAGAUUAGCAUGGCGCUUUGCAAGGAUGAUGGACAAAUUUGUGAAGCGUUCCAUAUUUUU
Molecule: small nuclear RNA, 106 nt
Organism: Delphinapterus leucas (beluga whale)
Lineage: Eukaryota; Metazoa; Chordata; Mammalia; Artiodactyla; Monodontidae
Source: Ensembl